This 126-nucleotide transfer RNA is filed under the name Magnetospirillum sp. Its description in RNAcentral is "tRNA-OTHER". The record is from RNAcentral. Lineage: Bacteria; Pseudomonadati; Pseudomonadota; Alphaproteobacteria; Rhodospirillales; Rhodospirillaceae.
GGAUGCCCAUAUCUCAGGAAAUGCCCGGUUUAUCUAUCUCCAUCAUAGUCAGGGAACCCCCAUAAAUCUAGAAAAAUAACAAUGGCAUUGCGGAGGUCAGCGGUUCGAUCCCGCUUGGCUCCACCA